This 327-nucleotide long non-coding RNA is filed under the name Physcomitrium patens. RNAcentral's name for it is "long non-coding RNA (PPAT_LNC000390)". The record is from RNAcentral. Lineage: Eukaryota; Viridiplantae; Streptophyta; Bryopsida; Funariales; Funariaceae.
AGUAGCAUUGGCUUCUUCAAUCAAUGAUGUUGGCUUACCACCCUUUGAAUUAGUGACCUUCUCCUCUUUACAUCUUUGUCAUCUGCCUUCGUGUUCGAUGGUUCUCUAUCCAAACGCACCAUCAAAUCUUCAUUCAAUAAACUCAAUUUCCAUAUCUGAGACUCACGUUGGCAAUUUGGUUGUCACGCUCCUCCAACAUCUUCUGCCAUUCUUUUGUCAGUUUCAAAGGUAUCUCCAAAGGUAUUAUCACUGAAACUGGCGUAUUGGUCUAUAUUAAAUUAUUGGCCUCCUUCACUAAUGCUGCUAGUUGAGACUGCAACAUUGCAA